GAUGAAGAACGCAGCGAAAUGCGAUACGUAAUGUGAAUUGCAGAAUUCAGUGAAUCAUCGAAUCUUUGAACGCACAUUGCGCCCCCUGGUAUUCCGGGGGGCAUGCCUGUCCGAGCGUCAUUACAACCCUCAAGCUCAGCUUGGUGUUGGGCCCCGCCGCCCCGGCGGGCCCUAAAGUCAGUGGCGGUGCCGUCCGGCUCCGAGCGUAGUAAUUCUUCUCGCUCUGGAGGCCCGGUCGUGUGCUCGCCAGCAACCCCCAAUUUUUUUCAGGUUGACCUCGGAUCAGGUAGGGAUACCCGCUGAACUUAAGCAUAUCAUAAGCGGAGGA
RNAcentral lists this unclassified non-coding RNA (328 nucleotides) under soil metagenome. RNAcentral's name for it is "partial contains 5.8S ribosomal RNA, internal transcribed spacer 2, and large subunit ribosomal RNA". The stretch from base 1 to 120 matches the Rfam family "5.8S ribosomal RNA", at positions 35 to 154 of the family's 154-position model. The record is from RNAcentral.